This 650-nucleotide ribosomal RNA is filed under the name uncultured bacterium. RNAcentral's name for it is "bacterial SSU rRNA". It matches the Rfam family "Bacterial small subunit ribosomal RNA", at positions 191 to 827 of the family's 1533-position model. The record is from RNAcentral.
GUUUCUAUAUUAAAAGGAGCCUUUAAAGCUUCGCUUAAAGAUGGGCCUGCGGCGUAUUAGCUAGUUGGUGAGGUAAUGGCUUACCAAGGCGCCGAUGCGUAGCCGAACCGAGAGGUUGAUCGGCCACAUUGGGACUGAGACACGGCCCACACUCCUACGGGAGACAGCAGUUAGGAAUAUUCGUCAAUGGGGGAAACCCUGAACGAGCAAUGCCGCGUGAACGAUGAAGGCCCUAUGGGUUGUAAAGUUCUGUUGCAUGGGACGAACGGCUAGGAUAGGAAAUGAUCUUAGUGUGACGGUACCAUGCCAGAAAGCUCCGGCUAACUACGUGCCAGCAGCCGCGGUAAUACGUAGGGAGCGAGCGUUAUCCGGAUUUAUUGGGCGUAAAGGGUGCGUAGGCGGUUUGUUAAGUAUGAGAUUAAAGCCUGAGGCUUAACCUCAGUUCGUUUCAUAAACUGGCAGACUUGAGUAUGGCAGAGGUAAACGGAAUUUCUAGUGUGGCGGUUAAAUGCGUAGAUAUUAGAAGGAACACCAGUGGCGAAGGCGGUUUACUGGGCCAUAACUGACGCUGAGGCACGAAAGCGUGGGGAGCAAAUAGGAUUAGAUACCCUAGUAGUCCACGCCGUAAACGAUGAGUACUAAGUGUUGGG